ACAAUAACUAAAGCAUAGAAGGAAGGCUAAAAUAAGAAUUCAGAAACUAUAAACCGGCUCUCUUCUAGCUUACGACACAAACUAUGAGUGAGAAAAGGACAAAUGAUUCGCUCUUUGCUUCAUUUUUUCCGAGGUUGUCACAACAUGAAAUGUCAUUUGGACCUAUUGGACUCAUUUUAAUUCGGCCAAAUACAUAGUAACAUACAUAAGAAGAUUUUACUUAUAUUUACCGAACUAUUUGACACGGUCGCGUGAACUUUGUUUACGAGUGUCUUGUGUUCAGAUUGUUUUAAGUGAUAAUUUAACAAUAUUUUUCCAAAUAAAUGGAAAGAAACUUUUAUUUAUAUCAAAUAAUUGAGUGUCUCGACUCUGUGACAUUAUGUCUUGUGUGGUAUGGGGCUGCAGCUCACAUUCAGGAAGAAAAGAAAAUAGCCAACAACUUCUGUCGUUUCAUCGAUAUUAAAUCCAAAAGUGUCGACUGGAUUUACAUGAAAAGUCAGUUCAAGAAGACGAGAUGAAAAAUUUAAAAGAAAAGCUGAACAAGUCACGCCUCAAGAUCAAACGACUUAAUGAAAAAAAAAGUCAAUGUGACAGGGUGUCACAAAGACAGUUUCUAAACAAAUUGACACUGUUUAGAAAUUAAUAAAUUUGUAUUUAUUGUAAAUAUAAUGUACAUAAUUAAUAACGUGUAAAAUAAAUACUUGCUAAUGAACAGAUUUACGAUCUAAUUUAUAUUUCAUUUUACCUCCUGUUCUUAUUUACUCCUACUCCAACACUCCAGGUUGAUACGAACUGCGCCCAAUAAAGAAUGUAAUGAAUGUUAUAGAUUUGUGUAAGCGACUUAGAUAAAUCUUGACUAAACCUUCCUUUACAAAUACAAAUAUACUUUAUUGCACACAACAUACAAUACUUACAAGUUUUACACGAAAGAUACAGUAUACCACCUACCUACCUUUUACUUUCCCUUUCUGUUCUCUUAUGAAUACUUGUAUGCCGUAUUUUUUUUUAAGUAUAAUGCUAUAUCUAGUAGGUACGAGUAUGGUAAUCCUAGUAUUGAAACAGCUUGUAGCCCUAGUAAAGACCGCCAUUUUAUGUUUACAGAGUGGCACGUUUUUUCUGUAGGUAUUUCCAGUCCAUACUCUUUUCUAUGUCUAUGGCGUGAGCCCAUCGGGCCUCUUACCGUCUGUGCGGCUUAGACCCGGCGGUUCCAAUUUGCACGGCACGUCGAUCGACACCAGUGCACGGCGGAUGACAUCAUAAAUAAAUUCGAAUAUUACAAAAUACUUACCGAUGAAACGAUAACAGUUGGCUAUUUUCUUUCCUUCCUGAAUGUGAGCUGCAGCUCCAAACUAAUAUAAACCAGACAAUAUAAUCCAAAAAUGGUUAGAUACUUACCUAUCAGAGACAGAGUCUCCUUUCAUCAAGAAGAAGAUAAUUGCAUCCUACAAAAAGAAAUCUUGUAAAAAAAAUUUAUCGACAUUAAUUGUAAGUAAAUUUAAUUUUAUCGACAUAUUAGUAAAGUGAAACCCAACACUAGGCAAUGAAAAACUUGUGACAACCUACGAAAUUACGAAACAAUUUUUGUAUAUGCGUCUUUGUCUAACAUUACGCCGGUUCCGUAAGAUAAA
Molecule: long non-coding RNA, 1628 nt
Filed under: Pectinophora gossypiella (pink bollworm)
Lineage: Eukaryota; Metazoa; Arthropoda; Insecta; Lepidoptera; Gelechiidae
Description: uncharacterized LOC126370637
Source: RNAcentral